CAGUCGCCACGGGAAUACGUAGGGUGCGAGCGUUAAUCGGAAUUACUGGCGUAAAGCGUGCGCAGGCGGUUGUGUAAGACAGGUGUGAAAUCCCCGGGCUUAACCUGGGAACUGCGCUUGUGACUGCACAGCUAGAGUAUGGCAGAGGGGGGUGGAAUUCCACGUGUAGCAGUGAAAUGCGUAGAGAUGUGGAGGAACACCGAUGGCGAAGGCAGCCCCCUGGGCCAAUACUGACGCUCAUGCACGAAAGCGUGGGGAGCAAACAGGAUUAGAUACCCGUGUAGUCCCUGUCUCUUAUACA
RNAcentral lists this ribosomal RNA (301 nucleotides) under uncultured bacterium. Its description in RNAcentral is "partial 16S ribosomal RNA". It matches the Rfam family "Bacterial small subunit ribosomal RNA", at positions 509 to 808 of the family's 1533-position model. The record is from RNAcentral.